AGGAUGAACGCUAGCGGCAGGCUUAACACAUGCAAGUCGAGGGGUAUUGGUUUUCGGACCAAGAGACCGGCGCACGGGUGCGUAACGCGUAUGCAAUCUACCUUUCACAGAGGGAUAGCCCAGAGAAAUUUGGAUUAAUACCUCAUAGUAUAUAGACCUGGCAUCAGGAUUAUAUUAAAAGUCACAACGGUGAAAGAUGAGCAUGCGUCCCAUUAGCUAGUUGGUAUGGUAACGGCAUACCAAGGCUACGAU
This 252-nucleotide ribosomal RNA is filed under the name uncultured soil bacterium. Its description in RNAcentral is "partial 16S ribosomal RNA". It matches the Rfam family "Bacterial small subunit ribosomal RNA", at positions 26 to 280 of the family's 1533-position model. The record is from RNAcentral.